GGGGUAUUUAUAAUGGACCAAGAUAGCUUGACCUUUUUUUAUCUGUCAAUCAUCCGUUCUUUCCUUACUUUCUCAUCCGUCUACAAUGAUAUAUAUUUUAGUCUCUCGUAUACCCUUCCCUUUUUUCAUUCUUUCAUCAUUUUCCCUCUGAAAACCUCUCUUGUUGUAUCCCUUUCUUUCUUGUCUUUUCCAUAUCUCCAAUUUCCAAAGUUACAUCUCAUUGCAGGUGCUUUCUUUUGUAUAAAUUAAGAAAAUAUAAGUCGACCUUAACAAAAUGAGAUAUGUGGUAUCUUUAAAAAAAAAGCACACCAACCCAAAGAAAAAAUAGGUCAACACUAUCUGUUCAAUAAUAAACAAGUGUCAUUACACUAUGUCGAAUUC
RNAcentral lists this long non-coding RNA (381 nucleotides) under Mytilus galloprovincialis (Mediterranean mussel). Lineage: Eukaryota; Metazoa; Mollusca; Bivalvia; Mytilida; Mytilidae. The record is from RNAcentral.